UCCCUGAUGGCUGAGACUGUAAAGAAUCUGCCUGCCAUACAGGAGAUCCAGGUUCAAUCCCUGGGUUGGGAA
This is a non-coding RNA of Bos taurus (domestic cattle), 72 nucleotides long. The record is from Rfam. NCBI's taxonomy places the organism in Eukaryota, Metazoa, Chordata, Mammalia, Artiodactyla, Bovidae.